CCGCAUGGUUCAAAAGUGAAAGACGGUCUUGCUGUCACUUAUAGAUGGAUCCGCGCUGCAUUAGCUAGUUGGUAAGGUAACGGCUUACCAAGGCAACGAUGCAUAGCCGACCUGAGAGGGUGAUCGGCCACACUGGAACUGAGACACGGUCCAGACUCCUACGGGAGGCAGCAGUAGGGAAUCUUCCGCAAUGGGCGAAAGCCUGACGGAGCAACGCCGCGUGAGUGAUGAAGGUCUUCGGAUCGUAAAACUCUGUUAUUAGGGAAGAACAUAUGUGUAAGUAACUGUGCACAUCUUGACGGUACCUAAUCAGAAAGCCACGGCUAACUACGUGCCAGCAGCCGCGGUAAUACGUAGGUGGCAAGCGUUAUCCGGAAUUAUUGGGCGUAAAGCGCGCGUAGGCGGUUUUUUUAAGUCUGAUGUGAAAGCCCACGGCUCAACCGUGGAGGGUCAUUGGAAACUGGAAAACUUGAGUGCAGAAGAGGAAAGUGGAAUUCCAUGUGUAGCGGUGAAAUGCGCAGAGAUAUGGAGGAACACCAGUGGCGAAGGCGACUUUCUGGUCUGUAACUGACGCUGAUGUGCGAAAGCGUGGGGAUCAAACAGGAUUAGAUACCCUGGUAGUCCACGCCGUAAACGAUGAGUGCUAAGUGUUAGGGGGUUUCCGCCCCUUAGUGCUGCAGCUAACGCAUUAAGCACUCCGCCUGGGGAGUACGACCGCAAGGUUGAAACUCAAAGGAAUUGACGGGGACCCGCACAAGCGGUGGAGCAUGUGGUUUAAUUCGAAGCAACGCGAAGAACCUUACCAAAUCUUGACAUCCUUUGACAACUCUAGAGAUAGAGCCUUCCCCUUCGGGGGACAAAGUGACAGGUGGUGCAUGGUUGUCGUCAGCUCGUGUCGUGAGAUGUUGGGUUAAGUCCCGCAACGAGCGCAACCCUUAAGCUUAGUUGCCAUCAUUAAGUUGGGCACUCUAAGUUGACUGCCGGUGACAAACCGGAGGAAGGUGGGGAUGACGUCAAAUCAUCAUGCCCCUUAUGAUUUGGGCUACACACGUGCUACAAUGGACAAUACAAAGGGCAGCGAAACCGCGAGGUCAAGCAAAUCCCAUAAAGUUGUUCUCAGUUCGGAUUGUAGUCUGCAACUCGACUACAUGAAGCUGGAAUCGCUAGUAAUCGUAGAUCAGCAUGCUACGGUGAAUACGUUCCCGGGUCUUGUACACACCGCCCGUCACACCACGAGAGUUUGUAACACCCGAAGCCGGUGGAGUAACCUUUUAGGAGCUAGCCGUCGAAGGUGGGACAAAUGAUUGGGGUGAAGUCGUAACAAGGUAGCCGUAUCGGAAGGUGCGGCUGGAUCACCUCCUUUCUAAGGA
This 1370-nucleotide ribosomal RNA is filed under the name Staphylococcus aureus. Its description in RNAcentral is "bacterial SSU rRNA". It matches the Rfam family "Bacterial small subunit ribosomal RNA", at positions 186 to 1533 of the family's 1533-position model. The record is from RNAcentral. Lineage: Bacteria; Bacillati; Bacillota; Bacilli; Caryophanales; Staphylococcaceae.